Galleria mellonella (greater wax moth) is the source of this 522-nucleotide long non-coding RNA. RefSeq lists it as uncharacterized. The transcript is spliced from 3 exons. NCBI's taxonomy places the organism in Eukaryota, Metazoa, Arthropoda, Insecta, Lepidoptera, Pyralidae. The record is from RefSeq and is a predicted model, not a curated record.
UUUGACACUUAAGAUAGAGUUAAUAGAUUAGUGACCUUGUCGGUCGCGGCAACAGGCGUUAUACUUUAAAAGAGUUUUUAUGUAUACAGAAAUUUGGAUUUCGCCUUGGUCUCGUAAUUGGAAGUAAAAUUUGUAUAUAUACACAGUCGCCACAAGAACUUCGUUUGGUUGAGGCUUAGCAAAAUUGUGGGGCGUAAUUCCCAGCGCGGGUAAUAAAUCUGGAGCAAAUAUAAGCGUAAUGAAACUCCAAAAGGAAUUCGAAGCUCGAAAAGGUGCCCAUAGAAUGUGUGCUAAAUGUGGAUAAACUAUUUUUCGAGAUGGAGUCGUAAUAUUCCUUCAAUUUCCUAAACCUGGUAAAACAAAUAUUAAACGGUAUUGCAUGAAAGUUAGAAGACAGAGCUGAUUGUGACAGCAACAGUAUGUGACUUAUCAAGAGUCAGCAUAAAGGCUCUAGAUAUCCUCGGUGUCAUGAAGAAGACAAAUCUCAACUCAAUGAUAAUAAUUUCAAAAAGUUUUUAUUGU